Molecule: microRNA precursor, 111 nt
Filed under: Trialeurodes vaporariorum (greenhouse whitefly)
Lineage: Eukaryota; Metazoa; Arthropoda; Insecta; Hemiptera; Aleyrodidae
Description: microRNA mir-263
Source: RNAcentral
UGACAGAUUUGAAGUCAUUCAACAGGAGAAUCCACGGGAUCCGAGUCAUGAAUUUGAAAAUAAUGACUCGGAUCCCGUGGAUCUUCCCGUUGAAUGACUUCAAAUCUGUCA